GACAGAGGGCACAGGAAACCAGUCAGGGUGGGCGUCAAGGCCAAGGCCAGGGGGCUGUGACAGGCCUCUGUGGCUUCUGCCCACCGGCUUCCUGUGAUCACAGAGGGGCCUCAGGGAAUAAAGGCUAAUGACCAAGGGGUGGGGGGCUGUGGAAAGUUGUCCGUGUGGGAGGCCUUGGGAGCCGGCUUCCAGGCAGGUUCCAGGUUCAGACCCACUGUGGGCCAAGCAUAGGUGGCCAGGCAGUGGUUGAGGUUUGGCAUAGAGGGAUCUGGGGGGGUGUCUGGGGAGGGCUUUCCUGGACCAGAGACCUGGGCAGAAGGAGACAUGAAGAGGCUGUGGGUGAUUCGGGGCCAUGUUCCCUUCACCCCUAAACAGUCCCUCCCCCCACAUAUAAUAGAAGUAGCAGCUAUUUGCAGGGAAGAGGGAAGAGAAAUAUCAGCAGACCCAGGGGUUAAAUAAGGACCAGGAGACAGGCUGUGAGGAUUUAUGCCUGAAGAAUGAGAGAGGAGGAGGUCACAGCCCAGGCCUUGCCCGGGGCCUGUGGUGAGGCACCCAGGGCUGGCUGGGAGGUUUGAGUUUAGACAGAGACGGGAGACGGGAGCUAGCUUCUCUGCAGCCCAGCUUUGCUACCCACUGGUGCAGCCAAGCUCCCCGAGGGCUCCCCCAGAGGGGCCGGCUCUGGGGCUCUCAGUCCCCAGGGAGACUCCUCCUGCCUGGGCAUCGGGUGAGUGUGGAGAGAGCACGGUCUGCACAGCCUCUGCUGAGCCCACCUUCUGCCCCAGCUCCUGCUUACGGAGCCCCCUGCCCCCGGGGCAGUGCUGCCGAGCUCCACUCAAGAUGCCCCCACGCCACCGUGAUGCUACAACCCGGCUGCCCAGGACUCAGCAUGGCCGAGGACACCUCCCCCUUCCCACCAAGAAGAAGCAAAGAUGCUUCGGGGGCCAGAAAAGCAUCUCAAGAGAUGCUCAAUUUGACUCCUUCAAGAUUUGAGGAAGGAGUCAAAAACCAUACAACCCAUUCACCAAACUGGUCCUUGUCGACAGGAAAAGACGAGAUACCCUGAUGACAUGUUGAGUGAGCUGUGAGGUCUCUUAUCUGGGUCCUCCCUAUUCUCUUGGAACCCACCCCUCCCUUCUGUACUGAAUUUGAGUGAACUAUAAUUUGGAAGUAGAUUUAUAUGUUUAAAUAAAUGAGGAAUUCCUUUUGUGGCUCAGCGGUAACAAACCCAACUAGUAGCCAUGAGGAUGCGAGUUUAAUCCCUGGCCUCGCUCAGUGGGUUAAGGAUCUGGAGUUUCCAUAAGCUGUGGUGUAGGUGGCAGAUGUGGCUCAGAUCCUGUGUUGCUGUGGCUGUGGUGUAGGCCGGCAGCUGCAGCUCCGAUUUAACCCUUAGCCUGGGAACUUCUGGGUGCAGCC
This 1413-nucleotide long non-coding RNA is filed under the name Sus scrofa (pig). RNAcentral's name for it is "lncRNA (ENSSSCG00050069129.1)". Lineage: Eukaryota; Metazoa; Chordata; Mammalia; Artiodactyla; Suidae. The record is from RNAcentral.